RNAcentral lists this ribosomal RNA (379 nucleotides) under Sinocoelotes luoshuiensis. Its description in RNAcentral is "partial 16S ribosomal RNA". The record is from RNAcentral. Lineage: Eukaryota; Metazoa; Arthropoda; Arachnida; Araneae; Agelenidae.
CUCAAUGAAAUUUCAAUAGCCGCAAAUAUUUUGUGCUAAGGUAGCAUAAUCAUUUGUCUUUUAAUUAAAGACUAGAAUAAAAGAUUCAAUAUUUUUAUUUCUUUCUUAUCUAUUUAAAUUUAAUUUAUCUUAAACAUAAAAAGAUAUUUAUAAAAUAAAAAGACGACAAGACCCUAUUGAACUUAACUAAAGUUUAACUGGGGUAGUUAAUUAAAUAUAAUUUUAAUUAAAACAUUAUAAAUUUCUAAUACAAUUAAUAUAAUCAAGUUACCAUAGGGAUAACAGCGUAAUAAUUUUCUAUAGUUCUCAUUUAAAAAAUAUUUUGCGACCUCGAUGUUGAAUUAAUAAUCUAUUAAAUGCAAUAAUUAAUAAGAAAGUC